Spirosoma montaniterrae is the source of this 2846-nucleotide ribosomal RNA. It matches the Rfam family "Bacterial large subunit ribosomal RNA". The record is from Rfam. NCBI's taxonomy places the organism in Bacteria, Pseudomonadati, Bacteroidota, Cytophagia, Cytophagales, Cytophagaceae.
CAAUACGCAGCAAAAGGGCGUCUGGGGGAUGCCUAUGGCUUCUGGUGGCGAAGAAGGACGUGGCAAGCGACGAAACGCUGUGGGGACCCGCUGGCAGGGGCUGAUCCGCAGGUAUCCGAAUGGGGCAACCCGGUGGUGUGCAGCACCAUCACCACGCGUAAGCGUGGGGCAAACGCGGUGAACUGAAACAUCUCAGUAGCCGCAGGAAGAGAAAACAAGUCAGUGAUUUCGUCAGUAGUGGCGAGCGAACGCGAAACAGCCCAAACCGACGCUGUUACGGCAGCGUCGGGGUAGUAGGACCCGACACCAAGCCACAAGCCGAACACGAAUGGUCUGGGAAGGCCAACCCCAGGGGGUGAGAGUCCCGUAGUGGGCAGGUGCGUGGUGGGUUGGGGAUCCUGAGUAGGGGGGGACCGGCGAAAUCCCCUCUGAAUCGACCGGCACCAUCCGGUAAGGCUAAAUACGACCAGAAGACCGAUAGUGAAGAGUACCGUGAGGGAACGGUGAAAAGCACGGGGAGUACCCGGGUGAAAUAGACCCUGAAACCAGACGCUUACAAGCGGUCGGAGCUGUCGGAUGGCAGUGACGGCGUGCCUUUUGCAUAAUGAGCCUACGAGUUACCCUGGCUGGCGAGGUUAAGUACCUGAAGGUACGCAGCCGAAGCGAAAGCGAGUCUGAAUAGGGCGUUGUAGUCAGUGGGGGUAGACGCGAAACUUGGUGAUCUACCCGUGGUCAGGCUGAAGGGGUGGUAAAACACCGUGGAGGGCCGAACCGAUAAGCGUUGAAAAGCUUCCGGAUGAACUGCGGGUAGGGGUGAAAGGCCAAUCAAACUGAGAAAUAGCUCGUACUCUCCGAAAUGUUUUUAGGAACAGCGUUACGUGUUACCGUCUGUGAGGUAGAGCGACCAACAGGAUGCGGGGGAGUCACAUCCUACCAACUUCUGAUGAACUCCGAAUGCGCAGAGGGGUGCGUGGCAGUGAGGGGCAGGGUGCUAAGGUCCUGCUCCGAGAGGGGAACAACCCAGACCACCGGCUAAGGUCCCCAAGUGAAUGCUAAGUUGAACAAAGGCGGUCCGGCUGCUGAGACAGCCAGGAGGUUGGCUUGGAAGCAGCCAUUCCUUUAAAGAGUGCGUAACAGCUCACUGGUCGAGCGGGGCGGGCGUCGAUAAUAACCGGGCAUCAAGCAUUUCACCGAAGCCGUGGACUUGCAGUUAGACUGCAAUGUGGUAGGAGAGCAUUCUGACAUCGGCGAAGCUGGGGCGUGAGCCAUCUGGUGGAGAGGUCAGAAACGCAAAUGUAGGCAUAAGUAACGAGAAUGAAGCUGAGAACGCUUCACACCGAAAGGCUAAGGGUUCCUCCGCGAUGGCAGUCAUCGGAGGGUUAGUCGGGGUCUAAGGGGCAGCCGAAGGGCGGGACCUGAGGGGGAACGGGUUAAUAGUCCCGUACUACUGUUGCAGGUCACCUCAUGACGGAGCGUUGGGGGUCUUGGGUGCUGACGGAAUAGCACGCUGAGCGGAGACUUCGGUCGAAGCGAAAGGCUGAAGGGGCUUCCAAGAAAAGUGGGGUGACGGUAAGCGCAAUGGUACCCGUACCGCAAACCGACACAGGUAGCCGGGAAGAAUAUUCUAAGGUGCGCGAAAGAAUCAUGGUUAAGGAACUCGGCAAGAUGACCCUGUAACUUCGGGAUAAGGGGGGCCGUCUCUUUCGGGAGCGGCUGCAGAGAAGAGGCCCAGGCGACUGUUUACCAAAAACACAGGACUCUGCCAAAAUGAAAGUUGACGCAUAGGGUCUGACACCUGCCCGGUGCUGGAAGGUUAAGGGGGGAGCUUAGUCUGCAAGGGCGAAGGUUUGAACUGAAGCCCCAGUAAACGGCGGCCGUAACUAUAACGGUCCUAAGGUAGCGAAAUUCCUUGUCGGGUAAGUUCCGACCUGCACGAAUGGUGUAACGAUCUGGGCACUGUCUCAACCAUGAGUUCGGUGAAAUUGUAGUAGCGGUGAAGAUGCCGCUUACCCGCCACGGGACGGAAAGACCCCGUGCACCUUUACUACAGCUUAGUAGUGGGUGCUGGUUGUGGCUGUGUAGGAUAGGCGGGAGGCUUUGAAGGGGUGUCGCCAGGCAUCCUGGAGCCAACCUUGAAAUACCGCCCUUUCACAACCGGCGUCCUAACCCUUUAUGGGGGACAUUGCUUGGUGGGUAGUUUGACUGGGGUGGUCACCUCCGAAAGGGUAACGGAGGUUUCCCAAGGUCCGCUCAGGCCGGACGGUAAUCGGCUGGGGAGUGCAAUAGCAGAAGCGGGCUUGACAGUGAGGCAAACAGGCCGAUCUGGUGCGAAAGCAGGGUAUAGUGAUCCGGUAGUUCCGCAUGGAAGGGCUAUCGCUCAAAGGAUAAAAGGUACGCCGGGGAUAACAGGCUGAUCUCCCCCAAGAGCUCACAUCGACGGGGAGGUUUGGCACCUCGAUGUCGGCUCGUCACAUCCUGGGGCUGGAGAAGGUUCCAAGGGUUCGGCUGUUCGCCGAUUAAAGUGGCACGCGAGCUGGGUUCAGAACGUCGUGAGACAGUUCGGUCCCUAUCUGUGGUGGGCGUGGGAAUACUGAGGGGGUCUGUCCUUAGUACGAGAGGACCGGGAUGGACCAACCGCUGGCGGAUCGGUUGUCUGGCCGCAGGCACGGCCGAGUAGCUACGUUGGGUUAGGAUAAGCGCUGAAGGCAUCUAAGUGCGAAACCGGCCCCAAGAUGAGUGUUCCGUGUGGUAAGGGUUGUUGGAGACGACGACGUGGAUAGGGUGCAGGUGUAGGCGUGGAGACGCGUUGAGCUGAGCACUACUAAUGAGCCCGAGAGCGUAUGGUC